This 404-nucleotide ribosomal RNA is filed under the name Salmonella enterica. RNAcentral describes it as "partial 23S ribosomal RNA". It matches the Rfam family "Bacterial large subunit ribosomal RNA", at positions 1 to 435 of the family's 2925-position model. The record is from RNAcentral. Lineage: Bacteria; Pseudomonadati; Pseudomonadota; Gammaproteobacteria; Enterobacterales; Enterobacteriaceae.
GGGUUGUGAGGUUAAGCGACUAAGCGUACACGGUGGAUGCCCUGGCAGUCAGAGGCGAUGAAGGGCGUGCUAAUCUGCGAUAAGCGCCGGUAAGGUGAUAUGAACCGUUAUAACCGGCGAUACCCGAAUGGGGAAACCCAGUGUGACUCGUCACACUAUCAUUAACUGAAUCCAUAGGUUAAUGAGGCGAACCGGGGGAACUGAAACAUCUAAGUACCCCGAGGAAAAGAAAUCAACCGAGAUUCCCCCAGUAGCGGCGAGCGAACGGGGAGGAGCCCAGAGCCUGAAUCAGCAUGUGUGUUAGUGGAAGCGUCUGGAAAGGCGCGCGAUACAGGGUGACAGCCCCGUACACAAAAGCGCAUGUGCUGUGAGCUCGAUGAGUAGGGCGGGACACGUGGUAUCCU